Molecule: ribosomal RNA, 492 nt
Filed under: uncultured bacterium
Lineage: Bacteria
Description: partial 16S ribosomal RNA
Rfam family: Bacterial small subunit ribosomal RNA
Source: RNAcentral
AGUGAACGCUGGCGGUAGGCCCAACACAUGCAAGUCGAACGGCAGCACAGUAAGAGCUUGCUCUUACGGGUGGCGAGUGGCGGACGGGUGAGGAAUACAUCGGAAUCUACUUUUUCGUGGGGGAUAACGUAGGGAAACUUACGCUAAUACCGCAUACGACCUACGGGUGAAUGCAGGGGAUCUUCGGACCUUGCGCGAUUGAAUGAGCCGAUGUCGGAUUAGCUAGUUGGCGGGGUAAAUGCCCACCAAGGCGACGAUCCGUAGCUGGUCUGAGAGGAUGAUCAGCCACACUGGAACUGAGACACGGUCCAGACUCCUACGGGAGGCAGCAGUGGGGAAUAUUGGACAAUGGGCGCAAGCCUGAUCCAGCCAUACCGCGUGGGUGAAGAAGGCCUUCGGGUUGUAAAGCCCUUUUGUUGGGAAAGAAAAGCAGCAGGUUAAUACCCCGCUGUUCUGACGGUACCCAAAGAAUAAGCACCGGCUAACUUCGUG